AUUGGUGGGGUAGCUAUGUUCGGGUUCACUGACAUCCUUGUGGUUGGACUCGUUCUUCAGGCUUCCUGCUACGCGGGUGAAACUUCUUAGAGAGACAAACUGCGUUAUCAGUACGAAAUUGAGCAAUAACAGGUCUGUGAUGCCCUUAGAUGUCCGGGGCCGCACGCGCGCUACAAUGACGGUACCAACGAGUAUGACCUCCUGGCCCGAGAGGGUUAGGCAAACUGGUCCAUGACCGUCGUGACAGGGAUCGGGGUUUGUAAUUAUCCCCCGUGAACGAGGAAUUCCCAGUAAGUGCAAGUCAUAAGCUUGUGCUGAUUACGUCCCUGCCCUUUGUACACACCGCCCGUCGCUACUACCGAUUGAAUGGUUUGGCAAGGCCUUCGGAUUGGUGCCAUUGUAACGGCUUGCCGUUCGACAGGUGUCUGAAAAGAGGACCAAACCGUGAUCA
RNAcentral lists this ribosomal RNA (451 nucleotides) under Pseudomazocraes sulamericana. RNAcentral's name for it is "SSU rRNA". It matches the Rfam family "Eukaryotic small subunit ribosomal RNA", at positions 1354 to 1771 of the family's 1831-position model. Lineage: Eukaryota; Metazoa; Platyhelminthes; Monogenea; Mazocraeidea; Mazocraeidae. The record is from RNAcentral.